CCUACGGGUGGCAGCAGUAGGGAAUUUUGCGCAAUGGGCGAAAGCCUGACGCAGCAACGCCGCGUGAUCGAGACGCCCUUCGGGGUGUAAAGAUCUGUUAGUGGGGACGAAACUUGACGGUACCCACAGAGGAAGCACCGGCUAACUCCGUGCCAGCAGCCGCGGUAAUACGGGGGGUGCAAGCGUUGUCCGGAAUGAUUGGGCGUAAAGAGUUCGUAGGCGGCACGUAAAGUCUGGUGUUAAAGGCAGGGGCUCAACUUCUGUACGGCACUGGAUACUGGCGAGCUAGAGUGCGGUAGAGGUAAAGGGAAUUCCUGGUGUAGCGGUGAAAUGCGUAGAUAUCAGGAGGAACAUCGGUGGCGUAAGCGCUUUACUGGGCCGUAAUUGACGCUGAGGAACGAAAGCGAGGGUAGCAAAUGGGAUUAGAUACCCUAGUAGUC
RNAcentral lists this ribosomal RNA (440 nucleotides) under uncultured bacterium. Its description in RNAcentral is "partial 16S ribosomal RNA". It matches the Rfam family "Bacterial small subunit ribosomal RNA", at positions 338 to 795 of the family's 1533-position model. The record is from RNAcentral.